This is a long non-coding RNA of Temnothorax curvispinosus, 712 nucleotides long. RefSeq lists it as uncharacterized. NCBI's taxonomy places the organism in Eukaryota, Metazoa, Arthropoda, Insecta, Hymenoptera, Formicidae. The transcript is spliced from 4 exons. The record is from RefSeq and is a predicted model, not a curated record.
ACCCGACCGCUUCCUAGUCUGCCCGCCUGUGCCUACCGAGUUCCAAUUCGUAAGGUCAAGAGAUCCCAAAAAUAAUAAACGUUUUGCCGUAAGCCGUCACUAACCGGCGACGCGGCAUAACAAGUGUAAGAACUCGUUCGGUCCGCGUUCAAGCCUUUCCAGACCUGUAUUCACGACCGUGCUGCCGGGGCACGAAGCUCUCGGGGCACGCGCUCCGCCUAACCGACCUGCGGCGAGCCACUGAACAAGCCGGAAAGAAGAGAAAAAGGAAGCGAGUUCAAAUUCCUUUUGACGACGUGCGUUAGAUCGAUCUACGAUUAACACAGAAGGUUCUCAUCGCUGAAAUGGAUUUUCUUUCGCUCGGCGCGAUUAUUUUCGGUUGCGCAGUGAUACUGUUCGCAAUGAGAAGAUACUUUUCACCUCGAGGGACGAAGUUGCCGAAGUUACCGGAAACCUGGUGGACGCCCGGCACCGAGAGCUCUGCCAACAAUGAUAUCAGACCGUUCAAAGUUACCUUCACCGAAGAGGUAUGCAAAUUAGACAAGUUUAGAUUGUAUUAUUUGUCGUAAAUGCCGCACACUAUUUUUAUUUGAAAUAAAAUAUACCCAAUUUACCUAUAGACAUUGGAGAGAAAAGUAGAUGAUAAAUACGAAUAUAAGCGGCUAUGAAUGAUUAACACGAUUUGGAAGUCAGAUGGAGGAAUUCAAUUCAU